This 62-nucleotide transfer RNA is filed under the name Trioceros melleri (Meller's chameleon). RNAcentral's name for it is "tRNA-Lys". Lineage: Eukaryota; Metazoa; Chordata; Lepidosauria; Squamata; Chamaeleonidae. The record is from RNAcentral.
CACUAAGAAGCUUGCAUAGCAGUAGCCCUUUAAUCUAUAGAAGAGAUUUUUCUCCUUAGUGG